GGAUGCAAAUUGGAACCUGCCAAAAGGAAACAGGGCAAACUCUGGAAAGGGCCCGGACACAAAGCUCUGUCUUCUCCUGUAGUCACCUCCUCCCAGUCUGCAGGGAGGCAAAGCCGCACUGUCCUGCCCACCGGGAGGCCCACCCAGGCUUCCCAGCCCAGUACCCCGCCAUGAGAGCCCAUUACAAAGCCCCAUUAUAAAUCACACUGCUCAGCCACCUGCUGGCCAGGCUCCUCAGGCCAAAGGAAGCUCCAAGACACCACCUCCCAGCAGCUAAGGACCCAGGCCAGACUCCUCUAGUUGGCUUCAGGUCACACGUGGGGCUCUGGAGAUCCCAGAAACAUCACUAGACCAACGACCGGUUACGACCUGAAAAGAAGAGGACAAAAGUCAUCCAACACGAGGUGUGUGGAAGCCUUGGCCAACAGCAGGCCCAGGAUGAGGCUUGGUGAUGAGAGCGUUUGCCCAGCAUGUGGGGUCCUAGGCUUGACCCAAAACAGACCAUCAGAGCAACCAUCAAGGGUGACCUCGCAUUGUACCUACAAACACCAACCAAGACGCACCAAGACCCCUCCUCCCGCCGGCUUCACUGCUGGGCAGUGACCAAAAUACACACCCA
Long non-coding RNA from Fukomys damarensis (Damara mole-rat), 619 nucleotides. RefSeq lists it as uncharacterized. The record is from RefSeq and is a predicted model, not a curated record. The transcript has 4 exons. Lineage: Eukaryota; Metazoa; Chordata; Mammalia; Rodentia; Bathyergidae.